CUCAAUUCAACACCUUUAGCUUCCAUUCAUAGCCAUAGUAAAAACUUCAAUGGCAGUUACAAUCAAAUCACAAUAUUAUCUUGUAUAAAGAAAAGUUCAUCUAUAAAAUUGUGAGGUCUCCAAUUUAAAUCCCAAUAGAUUACAAAUGAUACAGUCCAUUGUCACUAUUCCAGCCAAGCAAAAACUAACAGAGGGAAGGAAAUUUCUGUCCUAAGAUCAGGCUCAAAAUGAUUCCCCCUUUCUUAUUUUAAGCUUUUUUUUAAUCGUGGAAGAAAAUUGAAUUUUACAGUAAAAAAAUUCGGCACAAAAGAAUCCUGCUCCAAGAAAAGGAUUAGAAAAUGCACUAGAUACCGUCAUACCCCAUUGUUUCUACAGAUAUUCGCUCCCUUUUCAUACCAUGAUGCUCAAAAUUUUGACGAUUCUCAAAAGGUAUAGUCCACUUAGCUUUCUGUCUGUCUUGCAUUACUGCAACCAACAUUUUAAUCAAUGUAAUUAAACUUUUGCUGCAUACACAUGAAGCAUAAGGAUUUCAAUUUAUUCAACAUAGGCAUCAGGACAAACAACAAAUUAUUUUUCCUCUCAUUUAAAUGUGAAUAAAGACUGGUAGUAUCAGAGUGGUUAGUUCAACCAUCCUUUGGAAGAUUAACUUCUCUCAGAACUUUUGCUGCAUCUUCAGGGAAAACAGGAUUUAUGUAACAACCAGUUCCGAUUUCAAACCCUCCCACACCAGUCAAUUGAGGCACUAUCUGUAAAAACCAGUGAGUAUAAGGUAAUUGUGAUUCUUUAACCCGAAGUGGAGCUGUCUGGAUCAUGAAAUUGAAUGGUGGGUUAUUCAAUUGCACAGACAUCUUUCUAAGCAUGAGCUUUAGCAAACCCCCAAGAUCAACAGCCUUCUCACAACCUAAUUCAUGGAAAUGAGAACAGUGAUCCCGAGGAAUGAUCCAUAUCUCAAAUGGAAACGUGGCAGCAAAAGGAACAAUUGAGAUAAAAUGAGUUGACUCAUCAAUUAAAAGCUUUUCGAUGUGAACUACACAGAGACAACAUUUCCCUGUCUUAUCGAAGUACUCCUUUGUACCAUCAAGUCGAGCGGAAACGGCAGGAGGUACGAUGGGGAGAGCAAUUAUCUGACUGUGAGAGUGACUCAAUGAUGCCCCAGCAGAAGCACCAUGGUUCUUGAACACCUGCACGUAUUUGAUGGAUUCACAGCUCAUAAUCUGCUCAAUCCUCUUCUUAUACGCGAGCAAAACAUUGCCAAUCUCUCUCGUUUCCAUAUCCCGAAGCUGGACCGAAUGAAACGGAACCUCUAUCACCACAUCGUGGAAACCAAACCCGUUUAAUAUCCGACCCGGACAAUCCAAUCCAAGGCUUUGCUCGGAUGGGUUAUCAAGGUUUCUGCUCAACGCCGGGUAAAGAUUCUCGAUGACCCGGAUCUUCCAUUCUGGGUUUCCCGGGUCGGGUGCAUCCCGAAAGAUUUCGGGGGCACACUCAUGCUCGUUGCCGAUGCAGAAAGGGCAGGAAUUGUUGCUAGGAUUAGGGUUUUCAGGGAUUUUGGAUUUGAAAUCAGUGGGUCGUUUGGCUCGGGCGGGUGAGAAAACGACCCACCGGUUAGUGACAGGAUCGUGCCUGAGUUCAGGGCUCCGUGUUUGAGCGGGCGCUGGUGAUGCCAUGUUUCCGUUGUCUUUUGUUUGGAUCUUGACGGCCGCUUCUUGUGAUGAGACCCGCUUGCUCUUUGAUGGUUACAAGUUAUGGUCUGGUUAUAGCGUAGUUAAAAGGCAAAUUAUGUCUUUGGGCCACUGAAGUUUGAGGAAUUGAAUUCUAUGCCCGUACCUUACAAUU
RNAcentral lists this unclassified non-coding RNA (1836 nucleotides) under Hevea brasiliensis (rubber tree). The record is from RNAcentral. Lineage: Eukaryota; Viridiplantae; Streptophyta; Magnoliopsida; Malpighiales; Euphorbiaceae.